This is a long non-coding RNA of Labeo rohita (rohu), 238 nucleotides long. RefSeq lists it as uncharacterized. NCBI's taxonomy places the organism in Eukaryota, Metazoa, Chordata, Actinopteri, Cypriniformes, Cyprinidae. The transcript is spliced from 2 exons. The record is from RefSeq and is a predicted model, not a curated record.
AACCUUAAUAUCUGCAGCUGACAUUUUGGACUCUUCAGUCCAUCACAGAGCAGCUCCACUCCUGAGUCCUGUAGGUCAUUGUUACUCAGAUCCAGCUCUCUCAGAACAGAGUUUGAGGAUUGAAGAGAUGAUGCCACAAUUUUACAAUCCUGAUCAAUAAGACUACAGCCAGCAAAACUAUGGGACAAAAUAUAUAUAAAAAAAAAAAAAAAAAAAAAAAAAAAAAAAAAAGUAAAAA